Molecule: non-coding RNA, 1121 nt
Filed under: Pongo abelii (Sumatran orangutan)
Lineage: Eukaryota; Metazoa; Chordata; Mammalia; Primates; Hominidae
Source: RNAcentral
CUGGGUUCUUUCGUUGGAGAGGGUCCCAUUUCCAGUCAUUCUUCAGCCUGGUGAUUCCCGCGCUCCCCUGAGGAGCAUAUGAAGUAUGUCGGUUCUGCCAGGUUGGAACGCGCUGCUGGACACUCGGCCGUAAGGCGGAUCCCGGAUCCCGUCCCACUCCGACCCUUCCCUCCAGAAGGGCCGGUUCCCAAACGGCCCCUUUAGACACAUCCCAGCGGUUUCCGACGGCCCUCACGAUGAAAACUGCUGUCCGUUGGUGAAGGCAGCCUCUUCUGUGCUCCUCGCCGCUGACUUUCUGAGGCGGACCUACCUGUGGAGGCAUACCAGGAACCAGACGAUGACCCCCUCCAAAAGUUGGGUCUUUGAGGAGAGCUACUAACUUGGGUUCCUGGUACACCCUCUACAUGCAGUGGUGAAGCUUAUCUAACAGUCAUUCAUAGAAUCAGUUUGGGAAGGGGAAUUUUCGCUGAACUCUCAUAGAGAAACUGUUUUAGAUAACAAAGUUCUGCACGGUUAAAAUUGAACAGAAAUUUUUUUGCAUAGAAAUUAGGAUUACCGAAAAUACUGAAGAAAGACUACCUCUGAUUGGACUCUUCUCAAGGAAUUAAUAAUUCAAGAACUAAGGAAAGAAAAAAGUGAUUAUAUGAAAAUACUGAAGUUGAUCGUAGCAACUGAAGGCUGAUCCUGUGUGGGUAAAUGUAAACGCUGAAUUCCCACGUUCCAAUGUGCGACCUGGGAUUAAGGCAGCAAUUGAGCAGGGCUGAAGUACAUUGGUGCAAUCUUGGCUCACUACAUCUCUACCCCAAGUUCAAGCAAUUCUCCUGCCUCAGCCUCCCAAGCAGCUGGGAUUACAGAAUGUCACAUAAAUGGAAUCAUACAAUUUCAUCUCUCUCUCUGCUAUGGACACAGAUGGCUUCACUCCAUCCUGUAUUCUCUGGACCAUGAUAGAAUUCCAGACUCUCAGUAGUUUUUGCAUUCCAAGAAGUAGAGCCUAGAGUGGUGGCCUAUAAUUACAGUUACUCAGGAGGCUGAGGCAGGAGGAUCCUUUGAAGUCCAGCAGUUUGAGGCCAGCCUGGACACCACAGCAAGACCACCAAUAAAUAAAUAAAUAAAUGGAACAU